This 305-nucleotide ribosomal RNA is filed under the name uncultured bacterium. Its description in RNAcentral is "bacterial SSU rRNA". It matches the Rfam family "Bacterial small subunit ribosomal RNA", at positions 335 to 657 of the family's 1533-position model. The record is from RNAcentral.
GCUCCUACGGGAGGCAGCAGUGGGGGAUAUUGCACAAUGGGGGAAACCCUGAUGCAGCGAUGCCGCGUGAAUGAAGACGGCCUUCGGGUUGUAAAGUUCUGUCGCAGGGGACGAAAAUGACGGUACCCUGCAAGAAAGCUCCGGCUAACUACGUGCCAGCAGCCGCGGUAAUACGUAGGGGGCAAGCGUUAUCCGGAUUUACUGGGUGUAAAGGGAGCGUAGACGGCGAUACAAGUCUGAAGUGAAAGCCCGGGGCUCAACCCCGGGACUGCUUUGGAAACUGUGUUGCUGGAGUGCUGGAGAGG